RNAcentral lists this long non-coding RNA (603 nucleotides) under Lupinus angustifolius (narrow-leaved blue lupine). Its description in RNAcentral is "long non-coding RNA (LANG_LNC000907)". Lineage: Eukaryota; Viridiplantae; Streptophyta; Magnoliopsida; Fabales; Fabaceae. The record is from RNAcentral.
CUUCGUGUUUUCCCAAUAAACCUCAUAAUAUCUCCUCAUUCUCCUGCUAUGAAUCCUGAAGCAACAUUUAACCCACGUAAUAAGACUGUGGUGGCUUCUUUUCGGGUUUUAGCCCUAUAUUUUCUAGUUACAAUUUUUUAUUUUGAUUUUGAGUGUUUGGUUUGUUGCACUUUCCUUGUAACUUCGGGAACUGUGGAGUUUGGUUGGGUGGUGGUGGUGGUGGAUCGGUGGCUACCUUCCAAAGCUGAAGCAAGAUCUAUCUCUCUAUUCAACCAGCGAUUCAGGCUUUGCAAAAAAUAUACCAAGAUUGUAAAUCAAGAAUGAUAAAGGAUCAGUCAAUAAGGGCAGAAAGAGAACAAAUUUAUGUUCAACCAUUGUUUCAUAAAGAGAUACAAAGAUUGGAAAUCCAGAUGAGGAAGAUUGGAAAUCAAUAUGUUUCUUCUUUCUCACUGUCUAGAUUUUAAACCAUCACAAAACAACAAGAGGAAAAAAACACAAAACAAUAAGGGUUUUGGAAAUGAUUUUGUUUACCAGGUUAAGAAAUACAACAGUUACGACAAGAAAGUGCACAAAGAAAUUGAAAUCCAUAUCUUCCUACGAAUC